This 213-nucleotide unclassified non-coding RNA is filed under the name plant metagenome. Its description in RNAcentral is "partial contains small subunit ribosomal RNA, internal transcribed spacer 1, and 5.8S ribosomal RNA". The record is from RNAcentral.
UUUCCGUAGGUGAACCUGCGGAAGGAUCAUUCAUAAUAAGUGUUUUAUGGCACUUUUUUAAAUCCAUAUCCACCUUGUGUGCAAUGUCAGGGUUGAUUUUUCUCUCGAGAGGAUCAACCCCAAACAUCAACUAUAUAUAAACUCUUUGUCUGAAAAAUAUUAUGAAUAAAACAAUUCAAAAUACAACUUUCAACAACGGAUCUCUUGGCUCUC